This 450-nucleotide ribosomal RNA is filed under the name uncultured bacterium. RNAcentral's name for it is "bacterial SSU rRNA". It matches the Rfam family "Bacterial small subunit ribosomal RNA", at positions 354 to 796 of the family's 1533-position model. The record is from RNAcentral.
GUGGGGAAUAUUGGACAAUGGGCGAAAGCCUGAUCCAGCCAUGCCGCGUGUGUGAAGAAGGUCUUCGGAUUGUAAAGCACUUUAAGUUGGGAGGAAGGGCAGUAAGUUAAUACCUUGCUGUUUUGACGUUACCGACAGAAUAAGCACCGGCUAACUUCGUGCCAGCAGCCGCGGUAAUACGAAGGGUGCAAGCGUUAAUCGGAAUUACUGGGCGUAAAGCGCGCGUAGGUGGUUUUGUAAGUUGGAGGUGAAAUCCCCGGGCUCAACCUGGGAACUGCCUCCAAAACUGCAUGGCUAGAGUACGGUAGAGGAUAGUGGAAUUUCCUGUGUAGCGGUGAAAUGCGUAGAUAUAGGAAGGAACACCAGUGGCGAAGGCGACUACCUGGGCUGAUACUGACACUGAGGUGCGAAAGCGUGGGGAGCAAACAGGAUUAGAAACCCUUGUAGUCC